GAUGAACGCUGGCGGCGUGCCUAAUACAUGCAAGUCGAGCGAACAGACGAGGAGCUUGCUCCUCUGACGUUAGCAGCGGACGGGUGAGUAACACGUGGAUAACCUACCUAUAAGACUGGGAUAACUUCGGGAAACCGGAGCUAAUACCGGAUAACAUGUUGAACCGCAUGGUUCAACAGUGAAAGACGGUCUUGCUGUCACUUAUAGAUGGAUCCGCGCCGCAUUAGCUAGUUGGUAAGGUAACGGCUUACCAAGGCAACGAUGCGUAGCCGACCUGAGAGGGUGAUCGGCCACACUGGAACUGAGACACGGUCCAGACUCCUACGGGAGGCAGCAGUAGGGAAUCUUCCGCAAUGGGCGAAAGCCUGACGGAGCAACGCCGCGUGAGUGAAGAAGGUCUUCGGAUCGUAAAACUCUGUUAUUAGGGAAGAACAAAUGUGUAAGUAACUAUGCACGUCUUGACGGUACCUAAUCAGAAAGCCACGGCUAACUACGUG
RNAcentral lists this ribosomal RNA (497 nucleotides) under uncultured bacterium. Its description in RNAcentral is "partial 16S ribosomal RNA". It matches the Rfam family "Bacterial small subunit ribosomal RNA", at positions 28 to 507 of the family's 1533-position model. The record is from RNAcentral.